RNAcentral lists this ribosomal RNA (1319 nucleotides) under Pseudomonas aeruginosa. RNAcentral's name for it is "partial 23S ribosomal RNA". It matches the Rfam family "Bacterial large subunit ribosomal RNA", at positions 561 to 1869 of the family's 2925-position model. The record is from RNAcentral. Lineage: Bacteria; Pseudomonadati; Pseudomonadota; Gammaproteobacteria; Pseudomonadales; Pseudomonadaceae.
UACGUACAAGCAGUGGGAGCACCUUCGGGUGUGACUGCGUACCUUUUGUAUAAUGGGUCAGCGACUUAUAUUCUGUAGCAAGGUUAACCGUAUAGGGGAGCCGCAGGGAAACCGAGUCUUAACUGGGCGUUAAGUUGCAGGGUAUAGACCCGAAACCCGGUGAUCUAGCCAUGGGCAGGUUGAAGGUUGGGUAACACUAACUGGAGGACCGAACCGACUAAUGUUGAAAAAUUAGCGGAUGACUUGUGGCUGGGGGUGAAAGGCCAAUCAAACCGGGAGAUAGCUGGUUCUCCCCGAAAGCUAUUUAGGUAGCGCCUCGUGAACUCAUCUUCGGGGGUAGAGCACUGUUUCGGCUAGGGGGUCAUCCCGACUUACCAACCCGAUGCAAACUACGAAUACCGAAGAAUGUUAUCACGGGAGACACACGGCGGGUGCUAACGUCCGUCGUGAAGAGGGAAACAACCCAGACCGCCAGCUAAGGUCCCAAAGUCAUGGUUAAGUGGGAAACGAUGUGGGAAGGCACAGACAGCCAGGAUGUUGGCUUAGAAGCAGCCAUCAUUUAAAGAAAGCGUAAUAGCUCACUGGUCGAGUCGGCCUGCGCGGAAGAUGUAACGGGGCUAAACCAUGCACCGAAGCUGCGGCAGCGACACUAUGUGUUGUUGGGUAGGGGAGCGUUCUGUAAGCCUGCGAAGGUGUCCUGUGAGGCAUGCUGGAGGUAUCAGAAGUGCGAAUGCUGACAUAAGUAACGAUAAAGCGGGUGAAAAGCCCGCUCGCCGGAAGACCAAGGGUUCCUGUCCAACGUUAAUCGGGGCAGGGUGAGUCGACCCCUAAGGCGAGGCCGAAAGGCGUAGUCGAUGGGAAACAGGUUAAUAUUCCUGUACUUGGUGUUACUGCGAAGGGGGGACGGAGAAGGCUAUGUUAGCCGGGCGACGGUUGUCCCGGUUUAAGCAUGUAGGCUGGUUAUCCAGGCAAAUCCGGAUAAUCAAGGCUGAGGUGUGAUGACGAGGCACUACGGUGCUGAAGUAACAAAUGCCCUGCUUCCAGGAAAAGCCUCUAAGCAUCAGGUAACAUUAAAUCGUACCCCAAACCGACACAGGUGGUCAGGUAGAGAAUACCAAGGCGCUUGAGAGAACUCGGGUGAAGGAACUAGGCAAAAUGGUGCCGUAACUUCGGGAGAAGGCACGCUGGUGUGUAGGUGAAGUCCCUGCGGAUGGAGCUGAGACCAGUCGAAGAUACCAGCUGGCUGCAACUGUUUAUUAAAAACACAGCACUGUGCAAACACGAAAGUGGACGUAUACGGUGUGACGCCUGCCCGGUGC